Molecule: long non-coding RNA, 400 nt
Filed under: Triticum aestivum (bread wheat)
Lineage: Eukaryota; Viridiplantae; Streptophyta; Magnoliopsida; Poales; Poaceae
Description: long non-coding RNA (TAES_LNC001341)
Source: RNAcentral
CGUGGCUUCACUUUUAACAUUAACUCAGGUGUUUUGGAGUCUCUUGAGCUCGAUUCAUUUGGGCUUACCAUUGUCCCUGUUAGUCUGGUAAUUUGGUUGGACACCUACCUGUCAUCUUAUAGGGCAUAUAAAUCCAUUGAUUAUGUCUCAGUAUACCACUUAUUCUUUACAGGUAAGCACGUACUGUUUAUUUGUGGAAGAUGUGCUUGAUAUAGUUUCUGAUACAAUCGUGGUGCAUGAAGAUGCAAUCUCUCGUGUUCAACGGUUAACACAGGUAAGCAUUACUGAUUGUUUCUUGAUAGAACCACUAUUGGACUUAAAAGUACCGAUUGCGUGGAGACCAAAUCGUAAUCGAAGCAACAACCUUGUUGAGUGAAAAAUAUUCUUAACUGAAUGGUAG